UUGCCUUUUAAAGGAGAGUUUUUCUAACCCUAAUUCUCAAACCGCCGCACCAUGCUCCCGUCGUCGCCUUGUUUUUUCUGCUGCUCCCAAGCAACCCACAACCAAUUCCGCAUCCGACGCUAUCAUCCAACUUUCCAUUGCAUUACGGACAACGUUCUCAGCUGAAGUUAUCAUGAUGACCAACACAACACCCAAUGGGUCCAACGGCCAACCACAUGCAAUGGAAUCCAAGAACACGGCCAUUCAGAUUCCAACACAAUCAAUCGCCGACAACCAGGUUCAAGGUCCGGCCCAGAAAGAGGACCAGAUUUCACCCUCAACAUCAACAACUAGUCAGCCUCGAGCGACUGGUCUGCCACACUGAAAUUCGAGGCUCGGCCAGCUGAGGUCCUACCCUCUCUCGGUGGUACCCUAAUAAGAAUGUUUUUCAUUCAUGUUCGCUAGGUUUAGUUUUAAGCUCCAGAUUUUUUUCUUGUCAGUUUUUUCCGGUUAGUUAGUUCCUUAAUUUUGAUUUCGUGGAUUUGAUUGCCUGUUAGGUUAGAGAGAAAGGGUUGAGGUCACUUACUCGUAAAGACCCGCGAUUUAUGUAACCUUGUCCAUAAGGAUAUCUUGUAUAUUUCUACAUUACUAUUUUUCGAAAAUACAAGAGUUGACGAUUGCUUAUAAAAAAA
Molecule: long non-coding RNA, 671 nt
Filed under: Linum usitatissimum (flax)
Lineage: Eukaryota; Viridiplantae; Streptophyta; Magnoliopsida; Malpighiales; Linaceae
Description: long non-coding RNA (LUSI_LNC002622)
Source: RNAcentral